This is a long non-coding RNA of Oncorhynchus masou masou (cherry salmon), 1883 nucleotides long. RefSeq lists it as uncharacterized. The record is from RefSeq and is a predicted model, not a curated record. The transcript has 2 exons. Lineage: Eukaryota; Metazoa; Chordata; Actinopteri; Salmoniformes; Salmonidae.
UAUAUAAGAGCAGUGCAACUCCGAAAAGGACAUAGACUCUACAGCACCUGAUACACUGAGGACCAUCUCUGGAAACGUAGACCAGGGCAGACCAUCAACAGCUCUUCAAGCCUCCUGCAGUAUUUUACUCUCAGGACACCUCACCUGCUCUCCAAUAUAAUGUAUCUUCUGGGACUCUGUACACUGGCCCUGCUGGCCUCCACCAUCGCACAGAAUCUUUCAACAAUAGCUUAUCUCACUCCUACAAUCGCUGUUUCUGCUCCUACAAUCACUGGUUCUGCUCCUACAAGCGCUGGUUCUGUUGCUCCUACAAGCGCUGGUUCUGUUGCUCCUACAAGCGCUGGUCCUGUUGCUCCUACAAGCGCUGGUCCUGUUGCUCCUACAAGCGCUGGUCCUGUUGCUCCUACAAGCGCUGGUCCUGUUGCUCCUACAAGCGCUGGUCCUGUUGCUCCUACAAGCGCUGGUCCUGUUGCUCCUACAAGCGCUGGUCCUGUUGCUCCUACAAGCGCUGGUCCUGUUGCUCCUACAAGCGCUGGUCCUGUUGCUCCUACAAGCGCUGGUCCUAUUGCUCCUACAAGCGCUGGUCCUGCUCAUGCAACACCAGCAACUGUCCAAUCUUCCAAACCAAGUGGCAGCCCAGCAACCGGAGCGUCUCUGUUGUGUUCUGUGGUGAUUCUUCUGCUCUACAGCCUGUAGUACUAAGUGGUGAACCCCCUCUGGCCUGGAGUUUGUAUUGUUCAGGACUAUAUAGACUGAGUGGCUAUGAAUGACCCCAGAGCCAAUGAACAAAGCAAAUAUGUAUCUGGAAGAAUGGAUUUUCCUCUACUAGAACACCAGUCAUUGAUGUUUCAUGUUAGAGGUUAAUCUUUGUAUAUGGACACGUUAUGAGAGAAGCAAAUUCUUCUUAAAUUUGAAUUUGGGUGGGUGGAUUGGAGGGGAGAAGGGGUGGAGGGAGGGGUUGGGGUUGUACUGUUUUUCUGUUCUCAUAUCUGAAAAUCUAUAAAGAAAGUACAACAAAAAGCAUUUGUUGUAAACCGUCACCAAUGGGUAAAAACCUUUGGGCCAAGAGAUAUUGGUUGUGUUUUGAACACUGACAGUUUUACGAACUUGAUUCCACUGCCCUUUUAGACUUAUUCUUGUCCGUUUGUUUGAUUAAAUUGAAAUGCACUGAUUAGAGGGAAUGAGUUCAUAUUGUAGACAAUACACUUGAUUGUAAUCCAAUUUCUAUGUUAAUAAAUGCAUGUAUGGAAGUACAAUCAGUAAAAUAAAAUAAUAGAAUGUGUGACUACUUACAUAUUAAGCAUUAGGAGCAUUAGCAAUAGAACAAAGUUGUAUUUUCUUGUGUUACUGUGUAAGAUGGAGACAUAACCCAAUGCUGAGGUAGGAUCUGAAUUUGAUCACCCUGGUGCAGGAGAACUUUCCUGCAUUGCAGGAUAUUUUAAACAUUUCUUUUGUAGUGUAUUUUAGUUCAAAAGGGUCAGAAUGUGUCAUUGCCACUUUUACAUUUCAGAUGUGAUUUUCCCUUACAAAAAAUGCACAUAAUAAAUAACAUUUCCUGUUGCUGCAGGAUUAUUUUCCUGCUGUAGCAAACUGGAUCAAAUUACGAUCCUACAUCUGUGUAUGUGAAGGCUGAGCUAGUGUGAAAUUGUACACAAAACUUAAUCCUUUAGUCUUCGUAUCGACAGAUAGCCAGCAACGCUUUGAGGAUGAUCCCCUCUGAAUUUGUCCUGUUGAAAAACAGUGGCCAUUUUUCAAAAAAUUCAACGGAUUUUGAAAGACUGUUAGUUAUACUGCUUGGUUGAGGUGGAUAGUUUCAUUGACAUGUAUUCCUACUGUAUUCGUUACAGGAAAUAAAUGCAUGGCUUUUUUUCAUCCCUCCAACA